Molecule: ribosomal RNA, 497 nt
Filed under: uncultured bacterium
Lineage: Bacteria
Description: partial 16S ribosomal RNA
Rfam family: Bacterial small subunit ribosomal RNA
Source: RNAcentral
GAUGAACGCUGGCGGCGUGCCUAAUACAUGCAAGUCGAGCGAACGGACGAGAAGCUUGCUUCUCUGAUGUUAGCGGCGGACGGGUGAGUAACACGUGGAUAACCUACCUAUAAGACUGGGAUAACUUCGGGAAACCGGAGCUAAUACCGGAUAAUAUUUUGAACCGCAUGGUUCAAAAGUGAAAGACGGUCUUGCUGUCACUUAUAGAUGGAUCCGCGCUGCAUUAGCUAGUUGGUAAGGUAACGGCUUACCAAGGCAACGAUGCAUAGCCGACCUGAGAGGGUGAUCGGCCACACGGGAACUGAGACACGGUCCAGACUCCGACGGGAGGCAGCAGUAGGGAAUCUUCCGCAAAGGGCGAAAGCCUGACGGAGCAACGCCGCGUGAGUGAUGAAGGUCUUCGGAUCGUAAAACUCUGUUAUUAGGGAAGAACAUAUGUGUAAGUAACUGUGCACAUCUUGACGGUACCUAAUCAGAAAGCCACGGCUAACUACGUG